Molecule: small nucleolar RNA, 114 nt
Organism: Marmota flaviventris (yellow-bellied marmot)
Lineage: Eukaryota; Metazoa; Chordata; Mammalia; Rodentia; Sciuridae
Product: U8 small nucleolar RNA
Source: RefSeq, a predicted model, not a curated record
UUGUCAGGCUCUGAACUUUAGGGCAGAUUAUAGCGUGAUGAUUGGAGUUCAGUGAUAUGUGAUUAAUGUCUCUGUGGAAUCAGGACUCGCAAAACCUGAUUGCUCCUAUCUGAU